RNA transcript from Ictalurus punctatus (channel catfish), 3401 nucleotides. It is a transcript of the gene named caldesmon 1a, with no coding region annotated. NCBI's taxonomy places the organism in Eukaryota, Metazoa, Chordata, Actinopteri, Siluriformes, Ictaluridae. The transcript is spliced from 17 exons. The record is from RefSeq and is a predicted model, not a curated record.
ACGAGAGACAGAGAGGAAGAGAGGGAGGGUGAACAAGAGGGGAACGGAAGAGGAUGGAUUUUGCCUUUUCUGGUAGCUAGAGCGAACUAGAGAAGCUCUUUGUGUUGGAAGUGGUGCUGAGACAGAAACAAGGAGAGAGCGGCUGAAAGGCUGGAAUGGUGUGAGAGCACAGAGAAGCAGACUCCUCCAGGGCUUUUUGUUGCUGUAGUAAGUGCCACACCUCCAGGACUGAACCAUGGAUGACGACUUUGAGUUGCGCAGGGAGCAGAGGAGACAGAAGAGAGAGGAGAUGCGGCUGGAAGCAGAAAGGAUGGCCUACCGCCGGACUGAAGAGGAUGAGGAAGAGGCAGCUCGUGAGCGUCGGCGAAGAGCACGCCAAGAACGUAUUCGAUACAAGGAUGGCGAGGAGGUAGCUAACCCAGCAGAGAGCGUGGGGCAGAACAGCCACAGUGUCACAGUAACAGAGACAGUGUCGAGCUCCGAGAUGAGCUCGGGCAGGGCCGGUGAGGGAGAUGAUGAUGAGCUGGCCCUGCUUGACCGUCUGGCCAAGCGUGAGGAGCGCAGGCAGAGAAGGAUGAAGGAGGCAAUGGACAGGCAGAAACAGCUGGAGUCCAUCGACGCUCCAUCCUACAGCUCCUACAGUGUGGAGAGUUCUUCUACCACCUCUUACCGAGCAUUCAAUGACCAGGAGGACGAGUCAGCACUCAACAGCAAGGAGGAGGUGAAAGAGGACCUGAAGGAGGAGGUCAUUCCACAGAAGGAGGUGGUGGAGGAGAAGCCACGCAGGUCUUACUUGAGGGAGCAGGAAUCCACUGAGGAAAAAGCUAAAAUAGAAGAUGAGGGCAAUACUGGUCAGGAUGCUGUGCGUCCAAGUGAUAAAUGCAAGUCUUUAAAUGAAGACCUAGCUGAUUCUACAGUCAUUUCAAAGCAGGAAGUGGAGGAGGCUGUGGCAGAAGUCGAUGAGGAUGUAGAGGAAGUAGAGGAGAAUGAGUUAGAGAUGGAGGAUGAGUACGCAGGGAGGAAGAGCAAGCAGCAGAACGGGGGAGUGUAUGAGGACAGCAAACACAAACAGGUGGAGAGAACUCAGAGCCGUGGCAGCGUGCACUCUUCCGAAGGUCCGCCAGCAGAGGAAGGGGACGACGGGGAGCAAACACGCCUGGAGGCUGAAAGGAAGCUGGAGGAGCUGAAGAGGAGGAGAGACGAGACUGAGAGCGAGGAAUUUGAGAGGAUGAAACAGAAGCAACAGGAGGCCGAGGCCGAGCUGGAGGAGCUGAAGAGGAAGAGGGAGGAAAGGAGGAAGGUACUGGAGGAAGAAGAGAGGCUGAAGAAGCAAGAGGAGGCUGAGCGGAAGGCAAGAGAGGAGGAGGAGAAGAGGAGAAUGAAGGAGGAGAUAGAGAGGAGGAGAGCGGAGGCAGCUGAACGGAGGCAGAAGGUCGAGGAAGAGGUAGACGGAGAAGCCAGCAAGCCCUUUAAAUGUGUUAGCCCCCGAGGAUCCUCUCUGAAGAUUGGUGAAAGGGCAGAAUUCCUCAACAGGUCAGCGCAGAAGAGUGCCGUGAAGGCGUCUCAGUCUCCCGUGGUGUCAAAGAUAGAUAACAGAUUGGAGCAGUACACCACGGCUGUGCAGAGUAAUAAAGAGGUGCGCUCACCACGCGUGGCUGCAAUCGACCUGCCUGUAGUUUCUGAUGGUGUGCGGAACAUUAAGAGCAUGUGGGAGAAGGGCAACGUUUUCAGUUCCACCAUCAGCACACCCUCCAGCAACAAGGAUGCAGCUGGAAUAAAGGUGGGCGUUGCAGGCCGCAUCAACGAUUGGCUGAAUAAAACACCAGAGAGCAAAACGCCAGGAGGAAGACCUGGGCUACAAGACCUGAAACCUGGCGAUGUUAGUGGCAAGCGCAAUCUAUGGGAAAACAAAAGCUCCUCUGCUACCAAGACUUCUUCCUGCUAGUUGUCUUCAGAUUUGGCUCCUUGAGGAGGUGACAAGCAGAGGAGAGAGCAAAUCUGUUGCCAAUGGAAUGGGUCACUAACCUUUCCAAGAAGCCGCAGCACCAGGGACCAAGUGAAAGCACCAUAUUCCUGUCACAUGCAUGUACUCAUACCAAAAAUACCAAAAAUAAUCUUUUAUGUUUUCUUUGGCUCCAGACCACAUGGUCCUGAUUACAGAAUAGUGUUUCAAAUGAAGCCACUUUUAUAGUGAGAAAUGUGGACAUUUAGAUCAACUGAAAAUACUGAGCAGUUCAAAAAUGACCCAUUUCCUUUAGCUGGAUUAGACAUAUUUAAAUACCGUGCAUAAUUUCACUCAUAAUUUUAAACAGCUUAUAAUGUGUUGCUUUUUUAGAAUCUCUUCUCUGCUAGUCACCCUUCACACCUUUUAAUUUAUAAUUAAAGCGAAGCUUGACAUAUUCAUAUUUUAUUCAUGUUCACCAGUCCAGGGCAAAAUAUGGGCACCCAUAGAGUAGUGUAUUUUUUACUUUUACUCUUUUUUGGGGGGGUCAAAGUGACACAUUUUUAAUAGUGAAACUAUGGUCUUAAUAAUAUAUGUUAGCACAUAGUGUAUGUUUUGUAAUUAACUAUAUAUUUUGUAUGUUUCCACUUUAUAUAAACUGACAUUCCUGCUUCUGCUCUCAAUAUUAAGCUCAGAUUACAGCCAUUAUAGACAUUAAUGAUUAUUAUCACAGUAACUUCUUCAUUUUUGUUUCAAGUGCUUUUUAGUCAGUAUAUUCAACAUGAUGUAUCACAUUUCAAGUAGACAUAAACGCUUUGCUCUGCACUGAAUAAAGGGAACAUGGAGGGAAAAAAAGACUUUCACAAACAUUUCUCUGCAUAUAAUACUUGCUUGAGUUGCCAUUAUCAUUUUGAAAGUGUGUUCAGUAUGUAAAAGGACAGAUGGCUCUAAGCCAUUACUGUGGACCAAUUAACGUUGUCUGUUUGUUCUUUUUUUUCAUUCACCCUUCAGCACUUCAUUUAGAGUAGAACCCUGGAUAUUGUCAACAGUAUAAUUGGACUGUAGUAUGUGCUGGUGGACAGACAGUCAGUGGCUUUUUGAAUCAGCAGGUUUCACUGGUUAAUGUUUAUGUGACUGACGGUAGAUUGUGGCUUGUGUUGUGUUGUUGGGGUUAGUUUCCCCGAUUUAGUAUUUUGGUUCAUGUUUUAAAAUGUGAAAACGUCUGAGUUUUGGUCUUUGACAAUCAAUUAAAAGACAAAGUUGUACUCUGUAUAUUUUCCAUAAUGAACCUUGACUGUAUUGGGGUAAUUCUCUGCAAAUCAUGCCAACUUUAAUUCUUUACCUUUUAACACUCUGACCAUUUAUUGUAACCAAGUUUCACACAGGACAUCUUUUAAAUAUUGUAUCAUUCUCUCAAAACAGCAAUAAAGAGAUCAAUGUAAAAAAAAAAUUUAAAAAA